AGUGUCCAGGUCUGAGAGCUCUUCAUUUCUUCUUCCAUUGAUCGUUGGACGGGUUUGUGGAAUUUCACUGAUUAUUCUCCUGCUGCUGCUUCUUUGUUGCAGCAGAAAAAUAAAGGAUGCAUGCAGUAACAGUCUCUCUCAGUCUCUGAACAUCAACCAAGGCUCUGCUACACAGCAAACAGUGAACCAGAAUGAAACUCAAGUUUACUCCUCUCUUCUCCAUGGUCAGCCUUUCCAAUCAUUCUUUUCACAACUAU
Long non-coding RNA from Mugil cephalus (flathead mullet), 257 nucleotides. RefSeq lists it as uncharacterized. NCBI's taxonomy places the organism in Eukaryota, Metazoa, Chordata, Actinopteri, Mugiliformes, Mugilidae. The record is from RefSeq and is a predicted model, not a curated record. The transcript has 3 exons.